GUGGAAUAUUGCACAAUGGGGGAAACCCUGAUGCAGCGACGCCGCGUGAGCGAAGAAGUAUUUCGGUAUGUAAAGCGCUAUCAGCAGGGAAGAAACAUGACGGUACCUGAGUAAGAAGCACCGGAUAACUACGUGCCAGGAGCCGCGGUAAUACGUAUGGUGCAAGCGUUAUCCGGAUUUACUGGGUGUAAAGGGAGCGCAGGCGGUGCGGCAAGUCUGAUGUGAAAACCCGGGGCUCAACCCCGGGACUGCAUUGGAAACUACCGAACUAGAGUGUCGGAGAGGUAAGUGGAAUUCCUAGUGUAGCGGUGAAAUGCGUAGAUAUUAGGAGGAACACCAGUGGCGAAGGCGGCUUACUGGACGAUAACUGACGCUGAGGCUCGAAAGCGUGGGGAGCAAACAGG
Molecule: ribosomal RNA, 404 nt
Filed under: uncultured bacterium
Lineage: Bacteria
Description: bacterial SSU rRNA
Rfam family: Bacterial small subunit ribosomal RNA
Source: RNAcentral